AUAAUCAUUUAUUAAUAAAUAAUUAAAUUGCAAAUUUAAUUU
Molecule: transfer RNA, 42 nt
Filed under: Mayetiola destructor (Hessian fly)
Lineage: Eukaryota; Metazoa; Arthropoda; Insecta; Diptera; Cecidomyiidae
Description: partial tRNA-Cys
Source: RNAcentral